CAUGCAGUACACAUACAUACAUUCAGGCACACAUUCAUAAAAAAUAAAAUAUGUAAAAUACCCCCAAAAUUAAAUAAGGAUACAUAUAGCCACCUGUGUGGGAUAAAGCUGUUAUAUUACAAUCUUCAUUUCAAUAUGAUUUCUUCUAUAGAAAAAAAACUGUCUUUCUAUGUGAAAACAUAGGUGGGAGAACAAAAGUAUUCUCCAAGUCAGUACAGAAAAUGUUGGUUACUUAGAUAGGUUUCUAUUGAUAUGAUAAGGACUAUGAAUAGAAGAAACUUGUGAUGGAGAGGGUUUAAUAAUCUUACAACUCUCAGGCCACGGUCUGUCACUGAGAGCACUCAAGGCAGGAACUGAAGGCAGGAACCUGAAGGCAGGAACUGAAGCAGAAGCUUUGGAGGAAUGCCACUUACUAGCUUUCUCACCAUGGUUUGCUCCCCCUGUUUUCAUAUACAACCAGGACUAACUGCCCAGGGGUGGCACCAACUACAGUGAGUUGCGCACAGUCACUAAUGAAGAAAAUGCCCCACAGCCUUUCUACAAGAUAAAGAUACCUUCGCCCAUACCCAGCAGGAAGCGAUUUCAAGAAUGUGACGCCCACAUUCCCAAAGAGGUGGUGUGUGUGGGGGGUGGUGGUUUUUUUGGUCUUUUAAUGGGUCUUGGGUCUGGGAUAAUUUUCAUUGAUUGAGGGGGUUGGUUACAAGUUGUCAAGGGUUAGGAAAAGGGUUAGCAAAGGAGAUUAGAUUUAAGGUUCUUAUUUUAAAAAAAAAGAAAGAAAGAAGGAAAGAAAAGAAAAAUGUAAAUACUUUACAUUGGAUUGGAUCGUUUUAUAUUGUAUACAAGUUAUAUACAUUGAAAUUGAUAUUGUUAGAAAAUGCUAUAUGUAUAUUUCUAAUUGUACCGUUCAUUUAACAAUGUAAUGCAAUUUUCUGAUCCUUGAAUGUUGUUAUUACCAACUAUUAGGAUAUAAAAAAAUGAAAGUUAGUAGUUAGACAUUAUAAUAGAACUUGUAGUUAUAUUAGGUGUGUUUUAAAGAUUGAGUACAUAUAUUUUAGAUAGACAGGUUAUCUUCAGACCCUUCAGAGAUCUACAGAAUAUGACAUUUAAAAUGUUUUAGUAACUUAGAAAACUUUUCUUUUUUGUUAUGACUAUGAAACAUGCCGGCUCCUGGCAGUACCAAUCUACUUCAGAGAAAAUAUGGGCAUUGAAAAAACUGCAAUUGGAGUUAACUUCCAUUGUGGCAAAAGUUAGCCACUGGACAACAAAGUAUCCUCAAAUCAACUGCUGACAAACAGGACAGACAGGACACGAAACAAAGGACUACUGAUUCUUGUCAAAACAAGUGUGGUUAUGGACAAUAUGGCACCAUCUCUGAAGUGACCUUCCCAAUCCGGGAAAAGUACAGUGCCCUUUUCUUCGAAGGCAGCUGAACAGGCAGUGGGCCGAUGGCUUCUGAUGUGCAAUGGGACAGUGGCUGAAACAGUUAUUCUUCAAGAGUAAUUAAGCGCACGUCUCUCAACAGUAGAAUGGCAUUUAAUAGAGGGAUGUGGAGAAGAACGGGAUGCUGAGAUGAAGCCACAUACACACAUAGCCAAGAAGAAUGGACAGCUGAAUUCAAAAAAACAUCAACAAUUUCCAGAAUUUAAAAUCCUGAAUCAUGACAGGACACUAGUGGAAUUCAGGUGUUUCUGGUAUAUAGACUGCUCUCACACCAAUGUGAGAUUGAACUGUUGACCUUGUGUACAUCCUGCUUCCCAAAUACGCUAAGAUACGCUAAGCCUAUAGGCUGAAGAUGAUGCCCCGACACUGCGGAGAAACCUCAGAUGAUUGUCCAGGCAGCUGGCUGUUUCUGUCAACUCACAAUUUUUUGGAAGUUGCUUGCAUAUGCUUCCUGUUUUUAUUUUUUUGUUAGCUAAUAUUAUUUCCUUCUUGGGUCUCUGAGAGAGUUGAAGAUUAGUUAGUUAUAGUUGAAGAUUAAUUAGGAUAGAAAGUGAAUUAGAUACAAUAGGGUAGAUAAUGGAAUUAUUUUCUCUGAAUUUGUCAAAUACAAAUGAACUAGACAUUGUUUAGGUAUUUAUUACUUGUAUAUAUUGUAUAUAGUUAUUGUACUUUUGUAUAUAGGUUUUCUUAUGUUAAUUAUAAGCUUUUUCUUUUUUUCUUUUUAUUAAAAUAGAAAAAGGGAAAUAUGGUGAUAUUUUAUUUGUAUUAAAAUGUUAUUUGUAUGUUAAUAAAUAAAUUUGCCCGGGGGUCAGAGCUAUUAGCAAGCCAUAGGAAAGCAGGGCAGUGAUGGCAUACGCUGGUAAUCCCAGCACUUGGUAGGCAGAGCUGGGUAAGUCUCUGUGUGUUCUGGGAUACAGCCAGUAUUGGAUACACAUGCCUUUAAUCUCAAUACCGAUCAUGGAAAACCUGGAGGUCUAUACAGACAGGCUGUGAUGAGGCGGUCAUGUGGUUGGGUUUACAAUCAAUGAGAAGGCAGAACAGGAACUCUAUAUAAAGACUUUAACACACGGGAAGCUCUGGUUCGGAGAGGUAGGACCACCGCAGGAGGAAGGGUAAGGUUUUAGCUCUUAGCUCUGACCUCUUGGCUUUCUUCUUUGCA
Molecule: long non-coding RNA, 2599 nt
Organism: Peromyscus californicus insignis
Lineage: Eukaryota; Metazoa; Chordata; Mammalia; Rodentia; Cricetidae
Exons: 2
Source: RefSeq, a predicted model, not a curated record